Pistacia vera is the source of this 1216-nucleotide RNA transcript. RefSeq lists it as uncharacterized. The record is from RefSeq and is a predicted model, not a curated record. NCBI's taxonomy places the organism in Eukaryota, Viridiplantae, Streptophyta, Magnoliopsida, Sapindales, Anacardiaceae. The transcript is spliced from 7 exons.
AAAAAAAAAAACGAAAACAAAAAGCCUUUGCCUUUUCUCCCUGUUCUCUGUAAUCGAAGCUUAAGCAGCUAGGGUUGGCGACUGGCGGCUGUUGAAGACGACGACUGAGCAAAGAAAAAUGGUUGAAACCAACGAUUCAUCUUCGUUUCACUUCAGCCAUGGCUUCUCACGCCGGAAUUCUCCUCGUCACAAAAAAGCUCAAAAAGAAUAUUAAAGAAGACUUUGGAGCCUUCGUUGAGAAGCUUCAACUUCUCCCUCCGCCUUAACCUGCUCCUCCCAAUGCUCCUCAUCCUCUCAAUUUUUCUCACCUUCGUCGUCUCUGACGUAUUUGAUAUCGAGGUUAUGUUACCGGUCUCGGCCAUCCGAAGUGGGCGACUACAAGCAGUGCAGCUUCUAGAACGGUGCCGGUGGAUUCGACUCUCGUGGAAGGAGGUGCCACUUGCGUUGGUAAAACGGUGGUGGAUGAACUGGCUUAUAGUAUCAAUGGAGUGAGCAAGCAUUAUGGGACACCAACUAAUCCUGUAGCACAUGCUCGAGUACCUAGUGGAUCAUGUAGUGGGGCUUUUGUGGUUGUGGCAGCUAAUCUUGUUGACUUCUCUUUGAAAAAGGAUAAAUUUGGUCCUGUUUUGUCAUGGGCGCAAAGAGUUAAAAUUGUUGUGGGGGCAACAAGAGAGUUAAAUAUCUACAUGAAAAGCAUGUAUGCAUUCCACAUGUGUUCUUGGGAACUUUAUCAUGCUCCAGAAUACGCUAUGACUUGACAGAUGAGUGCAAUGAGUGAUGUUUAUAGCUUUGAUGUUGUCCUGUUGGAACUAUAAUUGAGCGGAAGCCUGUUGAUCAUACCUACCGCUACCGCUGGACAGCAGAGCCUUGUGACAUGGGCAACUCCAAAACUCAGUGAAGAUAAGGUGAAGCAAUGCGUUGAUGCUAAGUUAAAUGGAAAUACCCUCCUAAGGCAAUUGAAAGAUGAUAACUUUGACUGAAAAUAAUUCGUCAAAUUCGAGCUUUCUUGGUGGAAGAGCAAAAGAUUGUGAAAGAAGGUUUUGAAGAUCCAGAAAGCAAAGUAAAUGCAAGUUUCAAGGAGCUAGAAAGUGGGAGGGUGAAAGCAGAACUUUUUUGGAUUUUAAGAAUGAAUUAGAAACUGGAAAAGCUGCUUCUUUUGUAUUGAAUUCCAUAUAUUUAUUGAAUUUGACUUGACAAAAUUUCUUUUAUAUAUUUA